AACGAGCGCUGGCGGCGUGCUUAACACAUGCAAGUCGAACGAGAACGGGUUAUAGUUUACUAUAACUGUCAGCUAAGUGGCGCACGGGUGAGUAAUAUAUAGGUAACGUGCCCUAGAGAGAGGGAUAACGUUUGGAAACGGACGCUAACACCUCAUAUGCCUUUAAGACAAAAGUCUGCAAGGGAAACAUUUAUGGCUCUAGGAUGGGACUGUACGGUAUCAGUUAGUUGGUGAGGUAAUGGCUCACCAAGACAAUGACACCUAACUGGUUUGAGAGGAUGAUCAGUCACACUGGGACUGAGACACGGCCCAG
RNAcentral lists this ribosomal RNA (313 nucleotides) under uncultured Arcobacter sp. RNAcentral's name for it is "bacterial SSU rRNA". It matches the Rfam family "Bacterial small subunit ribosomal RNA", at positions 29 to 334 of the family's 1533-position model. Lineage: Bacteria; Pseudomonadati; Campylobacterota; Epsilonproteobacteria; Campylobacterales; Arcobacteraceae. The record is from RNAcentral.